This is a long non-coding RNA of Dromiciops gliroides (monito del monte), 1733 nucleotides long. RefSeq lists it as uncharacterized. The transcript has 4 exons. The record is from RefSeq and is a predicted model, not a curated record. NCBI's taxonomy places the organism in Eukaryota, Metazoa, Chordata, Mammalia, Microbiotheria, Microbiotheriidae.
CUGCCUUGGCUUUCUACAUGUUGUUUUAACUUUCACUUUAGGGAGGACAUGGAAUCUACUCACAAAGUAGGAGACCCUCCCUAAGUGCCAAGGUGAGGAAAAGAUGACAAUGGAUCCCCUGGUGGCAAGUAUGAUAAGGAACUUCACCAGCCUAUGGAUAAUGUCAUAUUUGUUUUCUACAUAUUUCUUCUUUUUCUACAAAGAACGUUUUCAACAAUGGCCCUUUCUCUGGCAGCUUAAUGGGACCCUGGCUGUAACUUUUUCAGUGGAAGUUGGUGUUUUUAUUUGUUAUUUGUGGACACAUCACAGUUGCCAAGGGUUUAUUUUCAAGGAAGAUUGGAUGAACUGGAUUAUUUGGAGCCUCAUUUUCGUCUUCAUCUCAAUCUUUGGAAUACUAAUGUUCUACAGUGGAUAUCGAUUUUUGUUUCCCCUUCUUAUGCUACUGGUACUUUCAAUGAAUUACAACAAUAUUGAGAACAUGAUCUUUCUGAUGCCUGUACUAAGGUUAAUUUUAUCCCGGAUUCUGAGUCUGCUCGUAAAACAGUGAUUCAGGUGACUGGGCCCUGUCUGGUAGACUGACUGGCAUACAGCAAAUGGCCAGACUGCCCUGGGAAAGGAGUUAAUGAUGAUCCAGGGCUUAACCCUGAGGGACACUAAUGCUCAACUUGGGAGGGAGUGGGGGAAUGGUAACAAGGAGGAGGCUAACAAAGAUAAAGCCAGAGGAAAGGGAUGGCCAAAGGAAGAAGGUCGGCCAGGAGUCUUAGGACUUGACCUGGAGUCACCUAAGGAAGCAGGUGUGGGCUAUGACAAAAAGCAAAAUCACUAUCACUUUUUUCCUCCCUCCCUUCAUUUUUUUUCUUUCUCUCCCUCUGCUCUCUCUUUUUCUUUCUCCUCAUUCUCUCCUUCCUUCUUUCUUGCUAGAGCCCAUAUGUACCAGGACAGUGCUCCUAUUUCUAUAUCCUCCUCUGAAGAGCAGGGGUGUUACUUCCCACCUCCUGUCAUCUUUCCCUUCUAGUGCCAGCUGGUCCACAAAUUCACCACCCCUCAAAACCCCAAAGCUUGAUGAUAGUCAUGCUCCUCCCCUGGAAAGUUUCCCUAAAGGGAAUAGAGGACUAAGUCAAGGAAACUGCUGGCCUCAGGAUUCAUGCUUCUGUCUCCAAACUACAUUAACAAUACAUAGGAGUGGUCAUACCCUAAACUUGUCCUUCAAGCAACAUAUACUUCAUAUCCCCACUCCUCCCACUAGUGAAUUCGCCUCAGUGUCUAGAAUUCCUUGUUAGGGCUCUGUUUUCUUUGAUCACUCUUUUUUGCCUUCAUCAUUCCCAGGAAAUAUUCCCCCAGUGUCCUUUUUAGAGGCAGAGGCCCUGGACAGAUCUUGGGAUAUAUCCUGAAGAAUCUUAGGUCUCAUGGUUGUUUUUUUUUUUCCACAGGACAGGUAUGGUUUUCCCAUAAUCAUGGUACGUACACCAAGGCAAUCAUUGACAUGAGGCACCAAAUGGCCCCUCAAUUCUGUCCUGACUGAUCCCUUUUAGUUGUGUUCUAUGAGGAUCUUCUGAGUCACAGAUUUUUUAUCAUCUUACUCAUUACUCUCAGGGGUGAGAGGUAGUGAUUCUUAGGUAUUUCUCAAUAAAGAAUUAUACUCUUGGGGGCAGCUAGGUGGCACAGUGGGCAAAGUACUGGUCCUGGAUUCAGGAGUUCAAAUCUGGCAUCAGACACUCGACACUAGCUGUGUG